CGCGGCCUAUCAGCUUGUUGGUGAGGUAACGGCUCACCAAGGCAUUGACGGGUAGCUAGUGUGAGAGGACGAAUAGCCACACCGGGACUGAGACACGCCCCAGACUCAUACGGGAGGCAGCAGCAGGGAAUCUUGCACAAUGGAAGAAAGUGUGAUGCAGCGACGCCGCGUGGGGGAUGAAGGCCAUAGGGUCGUAAACCCCUUUCAGUGGGGAUGAAACUGACGGUACCCACAGAAGAAGGUCCGGCCAAGUACGUGCCAGCACCCGCGGUAAGACGUAGGGACCGAGCGUUGUCCGGAAUUACUGGGGGUAGAGAGCUCGUAGGCGGUUGCGUAAGUCGGAUGUGAAAGCUCGGGGCUCAACCCCGAGACGCCAUCCGAUAAUGCGCUGACUUGAAUCCAGUAGGGGAGUGUGGAAUUCCUGGUGUAGCGGUGAAAUGCGCAGAUAUCAGGAGGAACACCUAUGGCGAAGGCAGCACUCUGGGCUGGUAUUGACGCUGAGGAGCGAAAGCAUGGGUAGCAAACAGGAUUAGAUACCCUGGUAGUCCAUGCCGUAAACGUUGGGCCCUAGGUGUGGGGGACAUUCCACGUUUUCCGCGCCGUAGCUAACGCAUUAAGUGCCCCGCCUGGGGAGUACGG
RNAcentral lists this ribosomal RNA (639 nucleotides) under uncultured bacterium. RNAcentral describes it as "bacterial SSU rRNA". It matches the Rfam family "Bacterial small subunit ribosomal RNA", at positions 232 to 885 of the family's 1533-position model. The record is from RNAcentral.